Molecule: ribosomal RNA, 251 nt
Filed under: uncultured prokaryote
Description: partial 16S rRNA
Rfam family: Bacterial small subunit ribosomal RNA
Source: RNAcentral
ACGUAGGUGGCGAGCGUUGUUCGGAAUUAUUGGGCGUAAAGGGCGUGUAGGCGGCUUAUUAAGUCAGAUGUGAAAUCCCUGGGCUUAACCCAGGACGUGCAUUUAAAACUGUUCGACUUGAGUAGAGGAGAGGAAAGUGGAAUUCCUGGUGUAGCGGUGAAAUUCGUAGAUAUUAGGAGGAACACCGGUGGCGAAGGCGACUUACUGGACUUUAACUGACGCUGAGACGCGAGAGCGUGGGGAGCAAACAG